RNAcentral lists this transfer RNA (61 nucleotides) under Ictidomys tridecemlineatus (thirteen-lined ground squirrel). RNAcentral describes it as "Spermophilus tridecemlineatus (thirteen-lined ground squirrel) tRNA". It matches the Rfam family "tRNA", at positions 6 to 65 of the family's 71-position model. Rfam says of the family: Transfer RNA (tRNA) molecules are approximately 80 nucleotides in length. Their secondary structure includes four short double-helical elements and three loops (D, anti-codon, and T loops). Further hydrogen bonds mediate the characteristic L-shaped molecular structure. tRNAs have two regions of fundamental functional importance: the anti-codon, which is responsible for specific mRNA codon recognition, and the 3' end, to which the tRNAs corresponding amino acid is attached (by aminoacyl-tRNA synthetases). tRNAs cope with the degeneracy of the genetic code in two manners: having more than one tRNA (with a specific anti-codon) for a particular amino acid; and 'wobble' base-pairing, i.e. permitting non-standard base-pairing at the 3rd anti-codon position. The record is from Rfam by way of RNAcentral. Lineage: Eukaryota; Metazoa; Chordata; Mammalia; Rodentia; Sciuridae.
UGUAGCUCAAGAGUAAGAGUGCUUGCCUACCAUGCAUGAAGCCUAGGUUCUAUUCCUAACA